AGUUAAUUUAUUUAACCCAAGUGUCUUAGGGGUGCCUGCAAAUAUUUCCCAAGCUGCAUGUGUCUUAACUAAAAGGCAACUCACCUGACAGCUUUGCAUAGUUGCACCUUAGCAUUACUGCUCUAUCCAAUCCAUAAUACAUUCUGUUUACAAUAGUUAUCAGUUUGUUUGCUUUGAUUUUAGCUAAAAGAGCUGAAGAUUUAUCUCUCUGUCAGAGUUGGUAGAAAUCUAAGAGUCUGGUCCAAACCAUAAGCUUUCUGCUUAAUCUUCUGGAAACUUCCCAGUUUUCCUUGAAUAUCUCCAAGCAGCUGAUAUUGUACCUCCACUGCAUGGAGGGGGGAUUUUUUCUUUUUCUUGAUUAGUUCAGCUGACAAGGUCAACAGGAAAUUAAAAAGGAAGAAUAUACAUUCAGAACAACUAUGCUACCUUAUAUGCAGAGUUAUUAAGGGAAGG
Molecule: long non-coding RNA, 453 nt
Filed under: Chrysemys picta bellii (western painted turtle)
Lineage: Eukaryota; Metazoa; Chordata; Testudines; Emydidae
Description: lncRNA (ENSCPBG00000005196.1)
Source: RNAcentral